RNAcentral lists this transfer RNA (71 nucleotides) under Loxodonta africana (African savanna elephant). It matches the Rfam family "tRNA". Rfam says of the family: Transfer RNA (tRNA) molecules are approximately 80 nucleotides in length. The record is from Rfam by way of RNAcentral. Lineage: Eukaryota; Metazoa; Chordata; Mammalia; Proboscidea; Elephantidae.
GCCAUGGUGGUUCUGUGGUAGAAUUCUCACCUCCCAUGUGGGAGACCCGGGUUGGACUCCUGGCCAGUGCA